GGGUUGUGAGGUUAAGCGACUAAGCGUACACGGUGGAUGCCCUGGCAGUCAGAGGCGAUGAAGGACGUGCUAAUCUGCGAUAAGCGUCGGUAAGGUGAUAUGAACCGUUAUAACCGGCGAUUUCCGAAUGGGGAAACCCAGUGUGUUUCGACACACUAUCAUUAACUGAAUCCAUAGGUUAAUGAGGCGAACCGGGGGAACUGAAACAUCUAAGUACCCCGAGGAAAAGAAAUCAACCGAGAUUCCCCCAGUAGCGGCGAGCGAACGGGGAGCAGCCCAGAGCCUGAAUCAGUGUGUGUGUUAGUGGAAGCGUCUGGAAAGGCGCGCGAUACAGGGUGACAGCCCCGUACACAAAAAUGCACAUGCUGUGAGCUCGAUGAGUAGGGCGGGACACGUGGUAUCCUGUCUGAAUAUGGGGGGACCAUCCUCCAAGGCUAAAUACUCCUGACUGACCGAUAGUGAACCAGUACCGUGAGGGAAAGGCGAAAAGAACCCCGGCGAGGGGAGUGAAAAAGAACCUGAAACCGUGUACGUACAAGCAGUGGGAGCACGCUUCGGCGUGUGACUGCGUACCUUUUGUAUAAUGGGUCAGCGACUUAUAUUCUGUAGCAAGGUUAACCGAAUAGGGGAGCCGAAGGGAAACCGAGUCUUAACUGGGCGUUAAGUUGCAGGGUAUAGACCCGAAACCCGGUGAUCUAGCCAUGGGCAGGUUGAAGGUUGGGUAACACUAACUGGAGGACCGAACCGACUAAUGUUGAAAAAUUAGCGGAUGACUUGUGGCUGGGGGUGAAAGGCCAAUCAAACCGGGAGAUAGCUGGUUCUCCCCGAAAGCUAUUUAGGUAGCGCCUCGUGAAUUCAUCUCCGGGGGUAGAGCACUGUUUCGGCAAGGGGGUCAUCCCGACUUACCAACCCGAUGCAAACUGCGAAUACCGGAGAAUGUUAUCACGGGAGACACACGGCGGGUGCUAACGUCCGUCGUGAAGAGGGAAACAACCCAGACCGCCAGCUAAGGUCCCAAAGUCAUGGUUAAGUGGGAAACGAUGUGGGAAGGCCCAGACAGCCAGGAUGUUGGCUUAGAAGCAGCCAUCAUUUAAAGAAAGCGUAAUAGCUCACUGGUCGAGUCGGCCUGCGCGGAAGAUGUAACGGGGCUAAACCAUGCACCGAAGCUGCGGCAGCGACGCUGAUGCGUUGUUGGGUAGGGGAGCGUUCUGUAAGCCUGCGAAGGUGUGCUGUGAGGCAUGCUGGAGGUAUCAGAAGUGCGAAUGCUGA
This 1269-nucleotide ribosomal RNA is filed under the name Escherichia coli. RNAcentral's name for it is "bacterial LSU rRNA". It matches the Rfam family "Bacterial large subunit ribosomal RNA", at positions 1 to 1300 of the family's 2925-position model. The record is from RNAcentral. Lineage: Bacteria; Pseudomonadati; Pseudomonadota; Gammaproteobacteria; Enterobacterales; Enterobacteriaceae.